CUGCUGCCUCCCGUAGGAGUUUGGACCGUGUCUCAGGUCCAAUGUGGGGGACCUUCCUCUCAGAACCCCUACGCAUCGUCGGCUUGGUGGGCCGUUGCCCCACCAACUACCUAAUGCGCCGCAUGCCCAUCCGUGACCGGGGUCGCCCCCUUUGACCGGCAGGGGAUGUCCCCUCCCGGCAUUAUGUUGUAUUAGGCGGGAUUUCUCCCGGUUAUCCAUCUGUCACGGCCAGGCUGCAUACGUGUUACUCACCCGUGCGCCGGUCGCCGGCGG
RNAcentral lists this ribosomal RNA (273 nucleotides) under uncultured bacterium. RNAcentral describes it as "partial 16S ribosomal RNA". The record is from RNAcentral.